This 492-nucleotide ribosomal RNA is filed under the name uncultured bacterium. RNAcentral describes it as "partial 16S ribosomal RNA". It matches the Rfam family "Bacterial small subunit ribosomal RNA", at positions 29 to 507 of the family's 1533-position model. The record is from RNAcentral.
AGUGAACGCUGGCGGUAGGCCUAACACAUGCAAGUCGAACGGCAGCACAGUAAGAGCUUGCUCUUACGGGUGGCGAGUGGCGGACGGGUGAGGAAUACAUCGGAUUCUACUUUUUCGUGGGGGAUAACGUAGGGAAACUUACGCUAAUACCGCAUACGACCUACGGGUGAAAGCAGGGGAUCUUCGGACCUUGCGCGAUUGAAUGAGCCGAUGUCGGAUUAGCUAGUUGGCGGGGUAAAGGCCCACCAAGGCGACGAUCCGUAGCUGGUCUGAGAGGAUGAUCAGCCACACUGGAACUGAGACACGGUCCAGACUCCUACGGGAGGCAGCAGUGGGGAAUAUUGGACAAUGGGCGCAAGCCUGGUCCAGCCAUACCGCGUGGGUGAAGAAGGCCUUCGGGUUGUAAAGCCCUUUUGUUGGGAAAGAAAAGCAGCAGGUUAAUACCCCGCUGUUCUGACGGUACCCAAAGAAUAAGCACCGGCUAACUUCGUG